RNAcentral lists this ribosomal RNA (492 nucleotides) under uncultured bacterium. RNAcentral describes it as "partial 16S ribosomal RNA". It matches the Rfam family "Bacterial small subunit ribosomal RNA", at positions 29 to 507 of the family's 1533-position model. The record is from RNAcentral.
AGUGAACGCUGGCGGUAGGCCUAACACAUGCAAGUCGAACGGCAGCACAGUAAGAGCUUGCUCUUACGGGUGGCGAGUGGCGGACGGGUGAGGAAUACAUCGGAAUCUACUUUUUCGUGGGGGAUAACGUAGGGAAACUUACGCUAAUACCGCAUACGACCUACGGGUGAAAGCAGGGGAUCUUCGGACCUUGCGCGAUUGAAUGAGCCGGUGUCGGAUUAGCUAGUUGGCGGGGUAAAGGCCCACCAAGGCGACGAUCCGUAGCUGGUCUGAGAGGAUGAUCAGCCACACUGGAACUGAGACACGGUCCAGACUCCUACGGGAGGCAGCAGUGGGGAAUAUUGGACAAUGGGCGCAAGCCUGAUCCAGCCAUACCGCGUGGGUGAAGAAGGCCUUCGGGUUGUAAAGCCCUUUUGUUGGGAAAGAAAAGCAGCAGGUUAAUACCCCGCUGUCCUGACGGUACCCAAAGAAUAAGCACCGGCUAACUUCGUG